Molecule: ribosomal RNA, 468 nt
Filed under: uncultured bacterium
Lineage: Bacteria
Description: partial 16S ribosomal RNA
Rfam family: Bacterial small subunit ribosomal RNA
Source: RNAcentral
GACGAACGCUGGCGGCGUGCUUAACACAUGCAAGUCGAACGGAAAGGCCCUGCUUUUGUGGGGUGCUCGAGUGGCGAACGGGUGAGUAACACGUGAGUAACCUGCCCUUGACUUUGGGAUAACUUCAGGAAACUGGGGCUAAUACCGGAUAGGAGCUCCUGCUGCAUGGUGGGGGUUGGAAAGUUUCGGCGGUUGGGGAUGGACUCGCGGCUUAUCAGCUUGUUGGUGGGGUAGUGGCUUACCAAGGCUUUGACGGGUAGCCGGCCUGAGAGGGUGACCGGCCACAUGGGGACUGAGAUACGGCCCAGACUCGUACGGGAGGCAGCAGUGGGGAAUAUUGCACAAUGGGAGGAAGCCUGAUGCAGCAACGCCGCGUGCGGGAUGACGGCCUUCGGGUUGUAAACCGCUUUCGCCUGUGACGAAGCGUGAGUGGCGGUAAUGGGUAAAGAAGCACCGGCUAACUACGUG